RNAcentral lists this ribosomal RNA (442 nucleotides) under uncultured bacterium. Its description in RNAcentral is "partial 16S ribosomal RNA". It matches the Rfam family "Bacterial small subunit ribosomal RNA", at positions 338 to 795 of the family's 1533-position model. The record is from RNAcentral.
CCUACGGGUGGCAGCAGUGGGGGAUAUUGCACAAUGGGGGAAACCCUGAUGCAGCGACGCCGCGUGGGCGAAGAAGUAUUUCGGUAUGUAAAGCCCUAUCAGCAGGGAAGAAGAAAUGACGGUACCUGAGUAAGAAGCACCGGCUAAAUACGUGCCAGCAGCCGCGGUAAUACGUAUGGUGCAGGCGUUAUCCGGAUUUACUGGGUGUAAAGGGAGCGCAGGCGGCACGGCAAGCCUGAUGUGAAAGCCCGCGGCCCAACCGCGGGACUGCAUUGGGAACUAGCGGGCUGGGGUGCCAGAGAGGUAGGCGGAAUGCGAGGGGGAGCGGUGAAAUGCGUAGAUAGUGGGAGGAACACCGGUGGCGAAGGCAGCCUGCUGGACGGUGACUGACGCUGAGGCACGAAAGCGUGGGGAGCGAACAGGAUUGGAUACCCCUGUAGUC